This 484-nucleotide ribosomal RNA is filed under the name uncultured bacterium. Its description in RNAcentral is "partial 16S ribosomal RNA". It matches the Rfam family "Bacterial small subunit ribosomal RNA", at positions 30 to 507 of the family's 1533-position model. The record is from RNAcentral.
AUUGAACGCUGGCGGCAGGCCUAACACAUGCAAGUCGAGCGGAUGAAGGGAGCUUGCUCCUGGAUUCAGCGGCGGACGGGUGAGUAAUGCCUAGGAAUCUGCCUGGUAGUGGGGGAUAACGUCCGGAAACGGGCGCUAAUACCGCAUACGUCCUGAGGGAGGAAGUGGGGGAUCUUCGGACCUCACGCUAUUAGAUGAGCCUAGGUCGGAUUAGCUAGUUGGUGGGGUAAAGGCCUACCAAGGCGACGAUCCGUAACUGGUCUGAGAGGAUGAUCAGUCACACUGGAACUGAGACACGGUCCAGACUCCUACGGGAGGCAGCAGUGGGGAAUAUUGGACAAUGGGCGAAAGCCUGAUCCAGCCAUGCCGCGUGUGUGAAGAAGGUCUUCGGAUUGUAAAGCACUUUAAGUUGGGAGGAAGGGCAGUAAGUUAAUACCUUGCUGUUUUGACGUUACCAACAGAAUAAGCACCGGCUAACUUCGUG